UACGUAGGCAGCAAGCGUUGUUCGGAGUUACUGGGCGUAAAGGGUGCGUAGGCGGCUUUUUAAGUUUGGUGUGAAAUCUCCCGGCUCAACUGGGAGGGUGCGCCGAAUACUGAGAGGCUAGAGUGUGGGAGAGGAAAGUGGAAUUCCUGGUGUAGCGGUGAAAUGCGUAGAUAUCGGGAGGAACACCUGUGGCGAAAGCGGCUCACUGGACCAUAACUGACGCUGAUGCACGAAAGCUGGGGGGAGCAAACAGG
Molecule: ribosomal RNA, 254 nt
Filed under: uncultured bacterium
Lineage: Bacteria
Description: partial 16S ribosomal RNA
Rfam family: Bacterial small subunit ribosomal RNA
Source: RNAcentral